GGCUUGUUGAUUUUGAUUUCAAGUCUAACCUGCUCAAUGAUGGAUUAAAUGGCCGCGGUAUAUUGACCGUGCAAAGGUAGCAUAAUCAUUAGUUUUUCAAUUGAAAGCUGGUAUGAAUGGUUUGAUGGGAAGAUUUCUGUCUCUUUAAGAAUUUAUUAGAAUUUUAUUAUUAAGUGAAAAAGCUUAAAUAUUCAUGGAAGACGAGAAGACCCUAUAGAGUUUUAUAUCAUAAUGAAGUAAAUGGUUUGGGGUUGUAAACUAAUUUAUUUCAGGGGGAUAUUUUGUUGGGGUGACGGGAAAAUUAAAUUAACUUUUCCUUAGAAAAUCACUGAUGAGUGAAUAUAUGAUCCUAAUUUUUAGAUUAGAAGAGUAAAUUACCUUAGGGAUAACAGCGUAAUAUUUCCUAGAGUUCUUAUCGAAAGUAAUGAUUGCGACCUCGAUGUUGGAUUAAAAUUUAUAUUUGGUGCAGGAGCUGAGUAAUUAGGUCUGUUCGACCUUUAAAAUUUUACAUGAUCUGAGUUUAGACCGGUGUGAG
Molecule: ribosomal RNA, 535 nt
Filed under: Trigonopterus sp. 843 AR-2022a
Lineage: Eukaryota; Metazoa; Arthropoda; Insecta; Coleoptera; Curculionidae
Description: partial large subunit ribosomal RNA
Rfam family: Archaeal large subunit ribosomal RNA
Source: RNAcentral